ACUACGGGAGGCAGCAGUGGGGGAUAUUGGACAAUGGGGGGAACCCUGAUCCAGCGACGCCGCGUGAGUGAAGAAGUAUUUCGGUAUGUAAAGCUCUGUCAGCAGGGAAGAAAGAAAUGACGGUACCUGACCAAGAAGCCCCGGCUAACUACGUGCCAGCAGCCGCGGUAAUACGUAGGGGGAAAGCGUUAUCCGGAAUUACUGGGUGUAAAGGGAGCGUAGACGGUUAAGUAAGUCUGGAGUGAAAGGCCGGGGCCCAACCCCGGGACUGCUCUGGAAACUAUUGAACUUGAGUGCAGGAGAGGUAAGCGGAAUUCCUAGUGUAGCGGUGAAAUGCGUAGAUAUUAGGAGGAACACCAGGGGCGAAGGCGGCUUACUGGACUGUAACUGACGUUGAGGCUCGAAAGCGUGGGGAGCAAACAGGAUUAGAUACCCGUGUAGUC
RNAcentral lists this ribosomal RNA (443 nucleotides) under uncultured bacterium. RNAcentral describes it as "partial 16S ribosomal RNA". It matches the Rfam family "Bacterial small subunit ribosomal RNA", at positions 338 to 795 of the family's 1533-position model. The record is from RNAcentral.